CUUGUACUCCCUCCGUCUGGAAAUAGUUAUCAUCAAAAUGGAUAAAAGGGGAUGUAUCUAGAUGUAUUUUGGUUCUAGAUACAUCUUUUUUAUCCAUUUUGAUGACAAGUAUUUCUGGACAGAGGGAGUACAUG
Molecule: non-coding RNA, 134 nt
Organism: Triticum urartu
Lineage: Eukaryota; Viridiplantae; Streptophyta; Magnoliopsida; Poales; Poaceae
Source: Rfam